RNAcentral lists this ribosomal RNA (1197 nucleotides) under metagenome. RNAcentral describes it as "bacterial SSU rRNA". It matches the Rfam family "Bacterial small subunit ribosomal RNA", at positions 280 to 1473 of the family's 1533-position model. The record is from RNAcentral.
CGGGUAGCCGGACUGAGAGGUUGGCCGGUCACACUGGGACUGAGACACUGCCCAGACUCCUACGGGAGGCUGCAGUCGAGAAUCCUCCGCAAUGGGCGAAAGCCUGACGGAGCGACGCCGCGUGCAGGAAGAAGGCCCUCGGGUUGUAAACUGCUGUCACACGUUAAGAAUUGUUGCGGUCUACCGUAACUUGACAAAAGCGUGAGAGGAAGUCACGGCUAACUUCGUGCCAGCAGCCGCGGUAAAACGAAGGUGGCAAGCGUUGUUCGGAAUUACUGGGCGUAAAGAGCACGUAGGUGGUUUCGUGUGUCGAUGGUGAAAUCCUACAGCUCAACUGUAGAACUGCCGUCGAAACUACGAGGCUAGAGGACAGGAGGGGAGAGUGGAAUUCCUAGUGUAGCGGUGAAAUGCGUAGAUAUUAGGAGGAACGCCGGUGGCGAAAGCGACUCUCUGGACUGUUUCUGACACUGAGGUGCGAAAGCUAGGGGAGCAAACAGGAUUAGAUACCCUGGUAGUCCUAGCUGUAAACGAUGGGCACUAGGCAGGGGAGGUUCCGAUGCCAUCCUUGCCGUAGCUAAUGCGUUAAGUGCCCCGCCCGGGGAGUAUGGUCGCAAGGCUAAAACUCAAAGGAAUUGACGGGGGCUCACACAAGCGGUGGAGCAUGUGGUUUAAUUCGACGCGCAGAACCUUACCCGGGUUUGAAAUGCAGGGAUUAUCCUCCUGAAAGGGAGGGGAUUGCCUUCGGGUGUAACCUGUAUAGGUGUUGCAUGGCUGUCGUCAGCUCGUGUCGUGAGAUGUCGGGUUAAGUCCCUUAACGAGCGAAACCCUUGUCUUUAGUUGCCAGCGGGUCAUGCCGGGGACUCUAAAGAGACUGCCGUUGUUAAAACGGAGGAAGGUGGGGACGACGUCAAGUCAUCAUGGCCUUUAUGUCCGGGGCUACACACGUGCCACAAUGGCCGGUAUAAAGCGAAGCAAAUCCGUAAGGUGGAGCAAAUCGAUAAAAGCCGGUCUCAGUUCGGAUUGGGGGCUGAAACUCGCCCCCAUGAAGUCGGAAUCGCUAGUAAUCGCGGAUCAGCUACGCCGCGGUGAAUAUGUUCCUGAGCCUUGUACACACCGCCCGUCAAGCCACGAAAGCUGGUAGUACCCUAAGUCGUGAUCCCAACCUUCGGGAGGGUAGCGCCCACGGUAAAACCAGUG